UUGAAUAAACUUGGUUGGGUUGCUGCUGGCUCUCCGGAGCAUGUGCACACUCGCUCCAUCUUUAACCACCUGUGCACACACUGUAGGCCUGAAUGACCUUUUUCGAGGAAACUCGGUUUGAGAACUGCUCGGCUGUUCUUGCAUUUCAGGUCUAUGUUUUUAAACAUAUACUCCAUAGCAAGUUAUAGAAUGUUAAUUAUGGGCCUUCUGUGCCUUUAAAACCUAAUA
This 228-nucleotide unclassified non-coding RNA is filed under the name uncultured Entoloma. RNAcentral's name for it is "sequence contains ITS1". The record is from RNAcentral. Lineage: Eukaryota; Fungi; Basidiomycota; Agaricomycetes; Agaricales; Entolomataceae.